RNAcentral lists this ribosomal RNA (330 nucleotides) under uncultured bacterium. RNAcentral's name for it is "bacterial SSU rRNA". It matches the Rfam family "Bacterial small subunit ribosomal RNA", at positions 568 to 898 of the family's 1533-position model. The record is from RNAcentral.
CGCGUAGGCGGACAGUUUAGUCAGAGGUGAAAGCCCAGGGCUCAACCUUGGAAUUGCCUUUGAUACUGGCUGUCUUGAGUUCGGGAGAGGUGAGUGGAAUGCCGAGUGUAGAGGUGAAAUUCGUAGAUAUUCGGCGGAACACCAGUGGCGAAGGCGACUCACUGGCCCGAUACUGACGCUGAGGCGCGAAAGCGUGGGGAGCAAACAGGAUUAGAUACCCUGGUAGUCCACGCCGUAAACGAUGAGUGCUAGUUGUCGGCAUGCAUGCAUGUCGGUGACGCAGCUAACGCAUUAAGCACUCCGCCUGGGGAGUACGGUCGCAAGAUUAAA